RNAcentral lists this ribosomal RNA (268 nucleotides) under uncultured prokaryote. Its description in RNAcentral is "partial 16S ribosomal RNA". It matches the Rfam family "Bacterial small subunit ribosomal RNA", at positions 524 to 792 of the family's 1533-position model. The record is from RNAcentral.
UACGUAGGGGCAAGCGUUAUCCGGAUUUACUGGGUGUAAAGGGAGUGUAGGUGGUCUGGCAAGUCAGAUGUGAAAGCCCGCGGCUCAACUGCGGGACUGCAUUGGAAACUGUAGAUCUGGAGUGCCGGAGGGGCAAGCGGAAUUCCUGGUGUAGCGGUGAAAUGCGUAGAUAUCGGGAGGAACACCGGUGGCGAAGGCGGCUUUCUGGCCAGUUACUGACGCUCAUGCGCGAAAGCUGGGGUAGCGAACCGGAUUAGAUACCCUGGUA